RNAcentral lists this long non-coding RNA (3892 nucleotides) under Sus scrofa (pig). Its description in RNAcentral is "lncRNA (ENSSSCG00015039989.1)". The record is from RNAcentral. Lineage: Eukaryota; Metazoa; Chordata; Mammalia; Artiodactyla; Suidae.
AGAUUUGACCCAUAUGGAAAGAAUAAGUUCUCCACUUGCAGAAUUUGUAAAAGUUCUGUGCACCAGCCGGGUUCUCAUUACUGCCAGGGCUGUGCUUACAAAAAGGGCAUCUGCGCUAUGUGUGGAAAAAAGGUUUUGGAUACCAAAAACUACAAACAAACGUCUGUCUAAAUGUAUUGAAGUAUCUACCUUUCCAUAUGAUUUACUUUUUGCUUUGAAUUUUCAAGGUAUAACAUAGAUAUUCAAUUUACAAAAUAACAUGCCUUUAGAUAAUUACGUUUAAACCAGGGAAGUAGAUGGGUAUUCAUUCUUUUGCUCUCAAGAAGUUCUGAAUGGCAACAGUAUAAAGUUUUCUGCCUAAAGGUUUUAUUUUCCUUACAAAUAUCUUACUGAACUGGAAUAAGUGAUAAAUUAACAAAAAAAAUAUUUUCCCAGUUCUGUAUGCACUUUUUAUUUAUCAUUACUCAUAUAAUUUUUAUUAUCUUUUUUUCUACUUUAUAUGUAGAUCUUGAAAAAGUGAGAAGGAGGUUAUUAAUAUUGGCUUUGAACUUGGCAUUUAGAUUUGUAAUUCUUCACUCAUCCCCUUUUUAUUCAUAUAGUUCUUAGGGUCAGCAGUCCCUUAAUUAAUUGUGGCUUCAUAGAGCAUUUAAAUAUCUGAGACCAUUGUUGCUAAAUAGUUCCUAAGUGAUUAGCUCAGACCCAAAUCAAACAAAAGUUGUAUUUGUGGUAUUUUUGAUUUGUUCUUGAAGCCAAAGUGCCAGUACCUUUCACAUGAGAACAGGAACACAAGGGAUACCCUCUAUGUGUCCACAUCAACACACUGGAUUUGAGAAAAACACGUAUUACACAUUACCUUGAAUUCAGACCAUCAUGAAAGCCAAGAGAACAGUGUGCAUCUAUCAUGAUAGAUCACAAUCCUUUGGGAAAGUGCUUUGAAGUAGAAACUAAACUUUUUUUUUUCUUACUUCCUCUCCUUUUCCCCCCCCCCCCCCGCCAAAUAAAUAGACUAAGCAAACAUUUUUAUUUUUAUUUAUUUAUUUAUUUAUUUUGUUUUUUGCUUUUUAGGGCCACACUCUGGCACAUGGAGGUUCCCAGGCUAGGGGUCAAAUCGGAGCUACAGCUGCUGGCCUGCACCAGAGCCACAGCAAUGCGGGAUCCGAGCUGUGUCUGUGACCUACACCACAGCUCACAGCAACACCCAGAUCCUUAACCCACUGAGCGAGGCCAGGGAUCAAACUCACAACCUCGUGGUUCCUAGUUGGAUUCGUUUCCGCUAUACCACAACGGGAACUUCUAAGCAAGUUAAAUAUAUGUAACAUAGAUUGCUAAAAGACUACUUUGAGGUUUCAAGGAUUUUUCCUAUGUUGCCUUCAGAGGCACAGGACUUUUGCUUUUGAAACCUGUUAACUUACUGUGGGAGACAGAAAAAAGUAUUCCCCAUUGCCAAGUACAGUAUAAAUACAUAUCACUAUCAAAUGUGUAGAGGAGAUAACAUGAUGCUACACAUGGUAUAGAUGGCACAUUUUUAUUUGUUUUAAAAUUAUUAUAGAAAGUAUUUAAAGUUUUAACUGUUUAAGUUAUCUAUAAGUUCCACCACCCAAAGGUCAUCCUUAUUCUUACCCAGAAAGAUCACAAUAAAAUGCAAAAUAUAAUAAAUAAUAAUAGCUCUGAGGGCAAGAAGUAUCGUCUCGUGCUUUAAUUUGGAAUUUUAAACUAAGAUCAAUGCAAGGGACUCAUGAUAGGACCUGUGAGUGGUCCAGAAUCAUUAAAAGUUGGGUUGGUCAACUUUGGGAAAAGAGCAUUUCUCAGGUAUCAACUGGGAUCUAGGCUUCACAACUCAGAUUUCAUUUUUAUGCCUUGACUAGCUUUCUUCCAUGUAUGAUCCAAUGGCCAGACUCAGGUUCUCCUAUAAAGAUAUUUAUACUAGGAGUUCCCGUCGUGGCACAGUGGUUAACGAAUCUGACUAGGAACCAUGAGGUUGUGGGUUCGACCCCUGGCCUUGCUCAGUGGGUUAAGGAUCCGGCAUUGCCGUGAGCUGUGGUGUAGGUCGCAGAUGCAGCUCAGAUCUGGUGUUGUUGUGGCUCUGGCAUAGGCCGGCAGCGACAGCUGCGAUUAGACCCCUAGCCUGGGAACCUCCACCUGCCGCGAGAGCAGCCCUAGGAAGGCAUAAAAGACCAAAAAAAAAAAAAAAAAAAAAAAAAUUAUGCUAUUAUACCACAGAAUAGUAUAAGUAUUUUAAAUCUUCAUAUUGUUGAAAUAAUAAUAAUGACUGUCAUAAAUUAGAAGUUACUAAAUGAGGAGGAAAUUCCCAAGGCAAAAGUGAACAUAAAAUAUUUUUUAAAAAGAAGACGAAAGCAGAAACGGUAUAUUGAGAUGAUGCAGUUAAGACCAAAUGUUGCUUUUAUCAAUGUAAAAAAUGAUGAAAUAACUUUUUUUCACUUUUUAAAGGUGUACUGAAGUAUAUAGUUAAUUUACAGUGCGAUGAAUUUUGCUGUGCAACAAAGUGAUUCAAUUAUGCAUGUACACACAAAAAAAUAACUUUUUAAAAUUUCAGAUUCUAUUAUAUAUGUGUGUGUGUCAGAAACAACUGAAAUAUCAACAGAACACUUCUCAAGUACAUUCAUUAGGAUAUGCAGCCAUAAAAAUGAUAUAAGAAAUUACAUAUAUGUGUAGAAGUUUGUGUAUACACAUUGAAAAUAUCUGAAAGCAAGUUAGUACUGUUUUUCUCUGAGCAGUGGAACUAAGAGUUGAGAAAAGAAAGACUUAACCUUGUGCAGCCUCAUGCCACUUACCUAAUAACUUUCUGGCUUCUACUUUCCCUACCUGAGGGAGCAGGAGAGUACUAAUAAUUUUAGUAUUUUAGAAAUAUAUAUGUACAUGCACAUAUAUAUAUUUUUUUGAGAAUUUCAAGUAGAAGAAAUGUACAUAUUCUGUACUUCAACUUCUUGUCUGUUUGUUUGUUUAGGGCCGCUCCCACAACAUAUGGAAGUUCCCAGGCUAGGGGUUGAAUCGGAGCUGUAGACACUGGCCUACGCCACAGCCACAGCAAUGCCUGAUCCAAGCUGGUGUGUGUGACCUAUACCAUAGCUCAUGGCAACACCAGAUCCUUAACCCACGAGCGAGGCCAGGGAUUGAACCUGCGUUCUCAUGGAUACUAGUCUGAUUUCGUUUCCGCUGAGCCACAACAGGAACUCCUGUACUUCAACUUCUUAAUGUUUCUCCUCUUUGCUUUACUAUUUUCUAUCUCCUGUUAUACAUUUUUUUUCUUGACCACAUGAUGAAUAUGUUGACGACAUCAUACACUUUAAUACUACCUUUGUACUUCAGAAGAUCAAGCAUACUAUGUGUGAUUAUCAAAUUCAGGAAUUUAACAUUGAUGCGACGCUUUGUAGUCAUUAUUCAAAUUUCAUUUGUUGUUCCAUUGGUAAUUUUUUUUUUCAGCUUCAGGAUCUAGUCCAGGAUCAUACGUUGUGUUAUCAUGACUCUAAUCUGGACCAGCUCUUCAGCCUUUCUUUGUCUUUGUUGAUUUAUGUGAAGAAUAUGGGACAGUUAAAGUAUAGGAUAUCCUUCCAUUUGAGUUUUUCUGAUUCUUCUUUCUGGUUAGAUUUGGGAUAUGCAGUAUGGGCUGACUGUGAGUGAUGGGCCCAAUGUCACAUCCAGACUCAUAGAAUGUCCCAUUGCCUCUUGUUGGUAAUGUUAAUUUGAUCACUUGUUUAAGAUGUCAUCCAGUUUCUCCACUAUAUAAUUACUAUUUUUCCUUUCGCAAUUAGUAGAUAAUUUGUGAAAAACUUUGAGACCAUGUUGAUUGAUAGUCUAUUCCUCAUUAAACCUUUCUCUCCUAGAUUUAGCAUCUUUUGAUAAUUCUUGUCUGAAUAAAUUUUUACUGUCAUGU